AAUCUUCCACAAUGGACGAAAGUCUGAUGGCGCAACGCCGCGUGAGUGCAGAAGGAUUUCGGUUCGUAAAACUCUGUUGCAAGGGAAGAACAAGUAGCGUAGUAACCGGCGCUACUUUGACGGUACCAUGUUAUAAUGCCAAGGAUAACUCCGUGCCAGCAGCCGCGGUAAUACGUAGGUCGCAAGCGUUGUCCGGAAUUAUUGGGCGUAAAGCGCGCGCAGGUGGUUUAUUAAGUCUGAUGUGAAAGCCCACGGCUCAACCGUGGAGGGUCAGUGGAAACUGGGAGACUUGAGUGCAGAAGAGGAUAGUGGAAUUCCAAGUGUAGCGGUGAAAUGCGUAGAGAUUUGGAGGAACACCAGUGGCGAAGGCGACUGUCUGGUCUGUAACUGACACUGAGGCGCGAAAGCGUGGGGAGCAAAC
RNAcentral lists this ribosomal RNA (421 nucleotides) under uncultured bacterium. Its description in RNAcentral is "partial 16S ribosomal RNA". It matches the Rfam family "Bacterial small subunit ribosomal RNA", at positions 360 to 773 of the family's 1533-position model. The record is from RNAcentral.